Molecule: ribosomal RNA, 55 nt
Filed under: Eutypa lata
Lineage: Eukaryota; Fungi; Ascomycota; Sordariomycetes; Xylariales; Diatrypaceae
Description: partial 28S ribosomal RNA
Source: RNAcentral
GUUGACCUCGGAUCAGGUAGGAAUACCCGCUGAACUUAAGCAUAUCAAUAGGCGG